AUUGAACGCUGGCGGCAUGCCUUACACAUGCAAGUCGAACGGCAGCACGGGAGCAAUCCUGGUGGCGAGUGGCGAACGGGUGAGUAAUGUAUCGGAACGUGCCUUGUCGUGGGGGAUAACGUAGCGAAAGCUACGCUAAUACCGCAUACCAUCUAAGGAUGAAAGCGGGGGAUCGCAAGACCUCGCGCGACAAGAGUGGCCGAUAUCAGAUUAGGUUGUUGGUGGGGUAAAGGCCUACCAAGCCGACGAUCUGUAGCUGGUCUGAGAGGACGACCAGCCACACUGGGACUGAGACACGGCCCAGACUCCUACGGGAGGCAGCAGUGGGGAAUUUUGGACAAUGGGCGAAAGCCUGAUCCAGCAAUGCCGCGUGCAGGAUGAAGGCCUUCGGUGUAACUGCUUUGUUACAGAACGAAACAAGUCUCUCCUAAUACGGGGG
This 439-nucleotide ribosomal RNA is filed under the name uncultured bacterium. RNAcentral describes it as "bacterial SSU rRNA". It matches the Rfam family "Bacterial small subunit ribosomal RNA", at positions 30 to 471 of the family's 1533-position model. The record is from RNAcentral.